This 468-nucleotide ribosomal RNA is filed under the name uncultured bacterium. Its description in RNAcentral is "partial 16S ribosomal RNA". It matches the Rfam family "Bacterial small subunit ribosomal RNA", at positions 28 to 507 of the family's 1533-position model. The record is from RNAcentral.
GACGAACGCUGGCGGCGUGCUUAACACAUGCAAGUCGAACGGAAAGGCCCUGCUUUUGUGGGGUGCUCGAGUGGCGAACGGGUGAGUAACACGUGAGUAACCUGCCCUUGACUUUGGGAUAACUUCAGGAAACUGGGGCUAAUACCGGAUAGGAGCUCCUGCUGCAUGGUGGGGGUUGGAAAGUUUCGGCGGUUGGGGAUGGACUCGCGGCUUAUCAGCUUGUUGGUGGGGUAGUGUCUUACCAAGGCUUUGACGGGUAGCCGGCCUGAGAGGGUGACCGGCCACAUUGGGACUGAGAUACGGCCCAAACUCCUACGGGAGGCAGCAGUGGGGAAUAUUGCACAAUGGGCGGAAGCCUGAUGCAGCAACGCCGCGUGCGGGAUGACGGCCUUCGGGUUGUAAACCGCUUUCGCCUGUGACGAAGCGUGAGUGACGGUAAUGUGUAAAGAAGCACCGGCUAACUACGUG